This is a long non-coding RNA of Alosa alosa (allis shad), 411 nucleotides long. RefSeq lists it as uncharacterized. The record is from RefSeq and is a predicted model, not a curated record. The transcript is spliced from 3 exons. Lineage: Eukaryota; Metazoa; Chordata; Actinopteri; Clupeiformes; Clupeidae.
GAUGGAGCUGGAUCACGAGAUGCAUCAGAUUAGCCUAAGGAAAGGAGAGGAUUAUGUUUCGGGACCCUUGGCUGGCGGGGCGCAGGCCUUUGUUCUUGGCUGGCGGUUGUCACUUCACUCCACUAAUUGGAUGGCAUAAGAUGAUCUAAACACCCCAAGACCCCAGGUUCAUCCCGCCUCUUUCAAAUCAACUCUGACUGCCACCAAAAGAAGCUGAGCGGCGUCCGGGAACAAGAUACGUGUACGUGCCUCUCCCAACCUCAGUUGCUGCCUGCCUCUCCCUGCGCAAGGGCACCAUGAUCUCAGAGAGCGGCCAACACAGAGGGGCUUUCAUUGGGCCCACUGGCACUGCCCUUCUCCAGCCAUCCCAGAGAGAGGGAGAGAGAGAUAGAGAGGAGAGAGAGAAAAGAG